AGAGAGGAUGGCAUGAGAAGGCCUUGUGCGUGAGAAAAGAAAAGAAAAGAAGAGAAAAGAAAAGAAGAGAGACUGGGCGCAGGGUUUUCUGUGAGUACCCUAGGGUUAUUGCCUAGGGUUCGGGAAGUGAGAAGGUGAGCUAUGAGUAUCGUGAGCCCACUAGACUUUAGGGAGAGCUUCAUCAACCUCUCAAGUUCCUUUGCUGAUGAUCCAAAGUAUCU
This 221-nucleotide long non-coding RNA is filed under the name Elaeis guineensis (African oil palm). RNAcentral's name for it is "long non-coding RNA (EGUI_LNC061621)". The record is from RNAcentral. Lineage: Eukaryota; Viridiplantae; Streptophyta; Magnoliopsida; Arecales; Arecaceae.